Molecule: transfer RNA, 74 nt
Filed under: Salmonella phage PRF-SP13
Lineage: Duplodnaviria; Heunggongvirae; Uroviricota; Caudoviricetes; Demerecviridae
Also listed under: 4 other names
Description: tRNA-Sec
Rfam family: tRNA
About the family: Transfer RNA (tRNA) molecules are approximately 80 nucleotides in length. Their secondary structure includes four short double-helical elements and three loops (D, anti-codon, and T loops). Further hydrogen bonds mediate the characteristic L-shaped molecular structure. tRNAs have two regions of fundamental functional importance: the anti-codon, which is responsible for specific mRNA codon recognition, and the 3' end, to which the tRNAs corresponding amino acid is attached (by aminoacyl-tRNA synthetases). tRNAs cope with the degeneracy of the genetic code in two manners: having more than one tRNA (with a specific anti-codon) for a particular amino acid; and 'wobble' base-pairing, i.e. permitting non-standard base-pairing at the 3rd anti-codon position.
Source: RNAcentral
UGCCGUCCUAGUAUAAUAGGUAUUAUUAGGGCUUCACUGCCUGAAGAUGUGGGUUCGAGUCCCACGGUCGGAAA